Molecule: non-coding RNA, 86 nt
Organism: Cordylochernes scorpioides
Lineage: Eukaryota; Metazoa; Arthropoda; Arachnida; Pseudoscorpiones; Chernetidae
Source: the annotation of a GenBank genome assembly
AAAUAAAAGUGUCCAGGGGCGGGAAUCGAACCCACAACCUUCCGCUUACCGGGCAGAUGCCAUGUCCACUAGACAUUUAUUUAUCC